GAUGAGUGUCGUAUAAUUGAUAUUACGCCUUCCUGUCACGAGGGAGAUGCAGGUUCGAAUCCUGUCCUCAUCA
Molecule: transfer RNA, 73 nt
Filed under: Caudoviricetes sp.
Lineage: Duplodnaviria; Heunggongvirae; Uroviricota; Caudoviricetes
Description: tRNA-Asp
Rfam family: tRNA
About the family: Transfer RNA (tRNA) molecules are approximately 80 nucleotides in length.
Source: RNAcentral